AGCGAACGCUGGCGGCAGGCUUAACACAUGCGAGUCGAGCGGGCAUCCUUGUGGUUUCAGCGGCAGACGGGUGAGUAACGCGUGGGAACGUGCCCUUCGGUUCGGAAUAACUCAGGGAAACUGGAGCUAAUACCGGAUACGGCCUAUUGGGGGAAGGUUUACUGCCGAAGGAUCGGGCCGCGUCUGAUUAGCUUGUUGGUGUGGUGAUGGCUCACCAAGGCGACGAUCAGUGGCUGGUCUGGGAGGAUGAUCAGCCACACUGGGUAUGAGACACGGCCCAGACUACUACGGGAGGCAGCAGUGGGGAAUAUUGGAGAAUGGGGGCGAGCCUGAUCCAGCCAUGCCGCGUGAGUGAUGACGGCGUUAGGGUUGUAAAGCUCUUUUCUCCGGGACGAUAAUGACGGUACCGGAGGAAUAAGCCCCGGCUAACUUCGUG
RNAcentral lists this ribosomal RNA (436 nucleotides) under uncultured bacterium. RNAcentral's name for it is "partial 16S ribosomal RNA". It matches the Rfam family "Bacterial small subunit ribosomal RNA", at positions 28 to 507 of the family's 1533-position model. The record is from RNAcentral.